AUUGAACGCUGGCGGCAGGCCUAACACAUGCAAGUCGAACGGUAACAGGAAGCAGCUUGCUGCUUCGCUGACGAGUGGCGGACGGGUGAGUAAUGUCUGGGAAGCUGCCUGAUGGAGGGGGAUAACUACUGGAAACGGUAGCUAAUACCGCAUAAUGUCGCAAGACCAAAGAGGGGGACCUUCGGGCCUCUUGCCAUCGGAUGUGCCCAGAUGGGAUUAGCUUGUUGGUGGGGUAACGGCUCACCAAGGCGACGACCCUAGCUGGUCUGAGAGGAUGACCAGCCACACUGGAACUGAGACACGGUCCAGACUCCUACGGGAGGCAGCAGUGGGGAAUAUUGCACAAUGGGCGCAAGCCUGAUGCAGCCAUGCCGCGUGUAUGAAGAAGGCCUUCGGGUUGUAAAGUACUUUCAGCGGGGAGGAAGGGAGUAAAGUUAAUACCUUUGCUCAUUGACGUUACCCGCAGAAGAAGCACCGGCUAACUCCGUG
RNAcentral lists this ribosomal RNA (489 nucleotides) under uncultured bacterium. RNAcentral describes it as "partial 16S ribosomal RNA". It matches the Rfam family "Bacterial small subunit ribosomal RNA", at positions 30 to 507 of the family's 1533-position model. The record is from RNAcentral.